Molecule: ribosomal RNA, 253 nt
Filed under: uncultured bacterium
Lineage: Bacteria
Description: partial 16S ribosomal RNA
Rfam family: Bacterial small subunit ribosomal RNA
Source: RNAcentral
GACGGAGGGUGCAAGCGUUGUUCGGAAUUACUGGGCGUAAAGAGCGUGUAGGCGGUCUGAUAAGUCGAGUGUGAAAGCCCGAGGCUCAACUUCGGAAGUGCACUCGAAACUGCCAGGCUUGAGUACGGGAGAGGGAAGUGGAAUUCCUGGUGUAGAGGUGAAAUUCGUAGAUAUCAGGAGGAACACCGGUGGCGAAGGCGGCUUCCUGGACCGAUACUGACGCUGAGACGCGAAAGCGUGGGGAGCAAACAGG